This 491-nucleotide ribosomal RNA is filed under the name uncultured bacterium. RNAcentral describes it as "partial 16S ribosomal RNA". It matches the Rfam family "Bacterial small subunit ribosomal RNA", at positions 29 to 507 of the family's 1533-position model. The record is from RNAcentral.
AGUGAACGCUGGCGGUAGGCCUAACACAUGCAAGUCGAACGGCAGCACAGUAAGAGCUUGCUCUUACGGGUGGCGAGUGGCGGACGGGUGAGGAAUACAUCGGAAUCUACUUUUUCGUGGGGGAUAACGUAGGGAAACUUACGCUAAUACCGCAUACGACCUACGGGUGAAAGCAGGGGAUCUUCGGACCUUGCGCGAUUGAAUGAGCCGAUGUCGGAUUAGCUAGUUGGCGGGGUAAAGGCCCACCAAGGCGACGAUCCGUAGCUGGUCUGAGAGGAUGAUCGGCAACACUGGGACGAAGACACGGUCCAGACUCCUAGGGGAGGCAGCAGUGGGGAUUAUUGGACAAGGGGCGCAAGCCUGAUCCAGCCAGACCGCGUGGUUGAAGAAGGCCUGCGGGUUGUAAAGCCCUUUGUUGGGAAAGAAAAGCAGCAGGUUAAUACCCCGCUGUUCUGACGGUACCCAAAGAAUAAGCACCGGCUAACUUCGUG